Molecule: ribosomal RNA, 253 nt
Filed under: uncultured bacterium
Lineage: Bacteria
Description: partial 16S ribosomal RNA
Rfam family: Bacterial small subunit ribosomal RNA
Source: RNAcentral
UACGUAGGUGGCAAGCGUUGUCCGGAUUUACUGGGUGUAAAGGGCGUGUAGCCGGGUUGACAAGUCAGAUGUGAAAUCCUGCGGCUUAACCGCAGAACUGCAUUUGAAACUGUUGAUCUUGAGUACUGGAGAGGCAGACGGAAUUCCUAGUGUAGCGGUGAAAUGCGUAGAUAUCAGGAGGAACACCGGCGGCGAAGGCGGCCUGCUGGACCGCGACUGACGUUGAGGCUCGAAAGCGUGGGGAGCAAACAGG